This is a non-coding RNA of Chrysemys picta bellii (western painted turtle), 1051 nucleotides long. The record is from RefSeq and is a predicted model, not a curated record. NCBI's taxonomy places the organism in Eukaryota, Metazoa, Chordata, Testudines, Emydidae.
CCAGGGCGCAUGCGCUCCCUGCUCAGUAGGGCGGUGGUAGGGUAAACCUGGCUGUGAUUCCCUCCCUGCACAUUCCUCUCGCCUCCCCCAGUUGCGAGUGACACAUUACGCAGAGCGGGUGUGCGGGCGGCAGAUUCACCACGGGGAAGUAAAUAGGGUUUGGACAUCAAGACCGCUUGGGCGCUCUCAAGAAAUGUCAAGAAAACACACUUUCAGGGAAACAGGUUAGAUUCAAGUUAAAUUUUAUCUGAUCCUAUUCUAAGGGCCAAUUUUUAUUGCCAUGUGGGAAAACUUGCCUAUCCAGUUUGGCAGGUAUUUGGAGACCAUAAGCAGAAUCUUCGAAUAUGCUGCCAUGAUCUUCCACCUAAAUGAAUCUGACCUCUUGUGGGUAGUCUCAUUAUUAACAUGCAAGGGGUGGAAUUUAAAUUCUAUUUGCUAUUUUUUGGCAUGUCUUGACACUGUCAGUUUAUGUUUUAAUUUGUGAUUAUAAAAUCUAUGUGGAAAUACUGCGAGGCUUUGUCAGGCACAUUUAUUCAUUAGAAAAAUACUAUGGAGAAGCGGUAGCCUCUUUUGUAGACAAGGCUGUAACCAGCUUUCUAUUUACUCAGCCAACUGUGUCCCCGGCACCAUUUCCCAAAGUCAUAAAAAAAGUUCCUGUCUGCAUCAUAUUCAUAAACCCAUCACCAUAUCCUCAUUUAAAUUCCCACUUAAAGCCUUCUAUGAUUUACUUGUGAUAGCAGCACAUACCUAUAUCCAAAAACUAAAAGAACAGUGAUUAUAUAUAAAGUAUGUGCAAUGCUGUAAGAUUUGCUUUCUAAAGUAUGCACCAAGUCUUAAAAAUUAGCACAUCAUAGGAGAGUAGAUUUGGGCAAAAGGUAAUUUUUUUGGUCUGGCUCUCGUUAGGCAAGUUGUAAGCUAAGUUCUGUUAAACUGUUCCCUAAAUAUGAGGAAAACUUGCAAAAUGGCAUAAUAUGGAUUCACUUAGGUUUCAAACAGUCCUAUAGUUUAAACAAAUGCACUGAAAAAAGUUUGUAUUUGUAAACAUUUAUUU